UUCAGAGAUGCGUAUGCUCUGGAUAUGGCUGUCUUGCUUAGCGGAGCUAUGAUCGUUGAUCGAACCGUUUCCAUAUCCAUGUACGGUGUCUAUUUACAUGAAUCUAACCAUCUCACACCAAAAGAAGAAGACUAUAGUGUAACGGCCACUCGUUCGGAUGCUUUUGCUUCAUCACCUGGAGAAGUUGUAACC
Molecule: non-coding RNA, 192 nt
Organism: Camelina sativa (false flax)
Lineage: Eukaryota; Viridiplantae; Streptophyta; Magnoliopsida; Brassicales; Brassicaceae
Source: RefSeq, a predicted model, not a curated record